This 434-nucleotide ribosomal RNA is filed under the name uncultured bacterium. RNAcentral describes it as "partial 16S ribosomal RNA". It matches the Rfam family "Bacterial small subunit ribosomal RNA", at positions 30 to 507 of the family's 1533-position model. The record is from RNAcentral.
AUCGAACGCUGGCGGCAGGCCUAACACAUGCAAGUCGAACGAACCUUUCGGGGUUAGUGGCGGACGGGUGAGUAACACGUGGGAACGUGCCUUUAGGUUCGGAAUAACUCAGGGAAACUUGUGCUAAUACCGAAUGUGCCCUUCGGGGGAAAGAUUUAUCGCCUUUAGAGCGGCCCGCGUCUGAUUAGCUAGUUGGUUGAGGUAAUGGCUCACCAAGGCGACGAUCAGUAGCUGGUCUGAGAGGAUGAUCAGCCACAUUGGGACUGAGACACGGCCCAAACUCCUACGGGAGGCAGCAGUGGGGAAUCUUGCGCAAUGGGCGAAAGCCUGACGCAGCCAUGCCGCGUGAAUGAUGAAGGUCUUAGGAUUGUAAAAUUCUUUCACCGGGGACGAUAAUGACGGUACCCGGAGAAGAAGCCCCGGCUAACUUCGUG